Molecule: transfer RNA, 86 nt
Filed under: Ahrensia sp.
Lineage: Bacteria; Pseudomonadati; Pseudomonadota; Alphaproteobacteria; Hyphomicrobiales; Ahrensiaceae
Description: tRNA-Leu
Rfam family: tRNA
About the family: Transfer RNA (tRNA) molecules are approximately 80 nucleotides in length. Their secondary structure includes four short double-helical elements and three loops (D, anti-codon, and T loops).
Source: RNAcentral
GCGGGCGUGGUGGAACCGGUAGACACACAGGACUUAAAAUCCUGAGGCCUUGUGCCGUGCGGGUUCAAGUCCCGCCGCCCGCACCA